AACGAACGCUGGCGGCAUGCCUAACACAUGCAAGUCGAACGAGACCUCCGGGGCUAGCGGCGCAAGGGUGCGUAACGCGUGGGAACCUGCCCUUAGGUUCGGUAUAACUCCCCGAAAGGGGUGCUAAUACCGGAGAAUGUCUUCGGACCAAAGACUUAUCGCGUUUGGAUGGGCGCGCGUUGGAUUGGCUGGUGGGUAGGGUACAAGCCUACCAAGGCGAGGAUCCAUAGCUGGUCGGAGAGGAUGCUCCGUCACACCGGGACUGAGACACGGCCCACUCUGGGACGGAGCGGAGGAGAAGAGAAUAUUAGGCGCUGAAGGCUGACCUAGCCCAGCCGUGUCGGGUAAGAGAUGAUGGCCUUAGGAUUGUACUGCUCCUUUACCCGGAGUGAUAAUGACAGUACCGGGAGAAUAAGCUCCGGCUAACUCCGUG
RNAcentral lists this ribosomal RNA (433 nucleotides) under uncultured bacterium. RNAcentral's name for it is "partial 16S ribosomal RNA". It matches the Rfam family "Bacterial small subunit ribosomal RNA", at positions 29 to 507 of the family's 1533-position model. The record is from RNAcentral.